CAGAACUCAGGGGAGCUCAGUGUUGUCCUGCUUUCUGGAGCAGCGAACUCGGGGGUCAUUGCCUCACAGUUUGCUGCAGAGAACUCGGGGGUCUUUGGCUAUUGACUCAGUGUCAUCCUGGUUUCUGGAGCAGAGAACUCAGGGCUCCUUGACAGCCAGGAGCUUCGGUUGAAGACAGGAGGACGACCUCAGGAGGCAGAAGGUACCUGCUUUUCUCUCUGUGCUUUGUCACGUUCCUACUGUACCCACCCAGAUGCCGCGUGCACGCCCUCCUGGCUCAGUGGCACACAUUUCAAUUGCUGUGUGGUUCAGCGGAGUUAAAAGUUUAAGAACCAGGAAAUGGGUAAAGUAGUGUUUCAUAUGCGCUUAAAUAUCUGCAUUUAUUACACGUAGCUUGUACUCCAGCCUGGUAUAAGCAGAUGUUCAGCUUUAUGCCAGAACAUCAUGGAAUGUUCUGUAAUUAACAAGCCAUUUUGCAUCUACAUCUCAUUCUCUGGGAAGCGAUUACUGACUUGGUAGGAUCGACCAAGCGUUCCGGCCCCAAGACGACUGAAGAAGGCACGAGUACAUUACUGUUCAGGAACAUGUAAGAGGAUGCAAAUGAUCAGGCAAAGAGGAGCCGUGGCAAGUGAGGAGAGCGCCGUGCUGAUUAUAAAACAUCCAAAAAAAAAUUCUAGGACUUUGUUUCAUUUUAAGCACACAUUUACUUCAGUGAUGAAGCCAUCUGCAAGUAAUUAGAGAAACAGACCAUGCUGUAGCAGGUUUGGUACAGGAUAUAUCCUCUGACAGUUGCUUAGGAACGGCGUAAUGGGCAGUGAAACAUGUAGGGGGGAGAGAGCCGUUUGUGUACAGAAAUAGACAGACGGUGGGGAAACAAGCCUAGAGGAAAAAAAACAACAAUGCUGCUUUUCUGGAGGAGCUGAGGCCCCCCCCCCCCCUCCGAUCUGUCAUGGUGUGUUUAGCACAUGCUUCCCAUUCCAUCUGUUCCCGGCCUUGUCGCUCAGGGAGGAGGACGGACAGGCACCUCGCGGAAAGGGGCCCGGCAGAAGGCGGAACUCACCGUGUGCGAGCGCGACUUGCCUGAGCGCCGAUUGAAGUCGCCUUCGCUUAUCGUGACACCGUGCCUGUGAUUGUAUUUUUAUCCUCGCUAUCAUGCGAUAUUAUCAGCUGCCUUAUGCCUCGCUGCAGCCUGUUAUUAUAUCGAUGUCAAAUCAUGUUUCCGUGCACGAGGGACUUUGAAGAUGUUAGGGACACCAGGUCUUAUUCCUGGCUUACUUCCAUAUUUUGCCACACAGUAUCAUUCCACAUAUUUGAGCCAGGCAUAACUUUGGACUCAUUAAAACAAUAACAAGCCA
This is a long non-coding RNA of Brienomyrus brachyistius, 1355 nucleotides long. RefSeq lists it as uncharacterized. The transcript is spliced from 2 exons. The record is from RefSeq and is a predicted model, not a curated record. NCBI's taxonomy places the organism in Eukaryota, Metazoa, Chordata, Actinopteri, Osteoglossiformes, Mormyridae.